This 470-nucleotide ribosomal RNA is filed under the name uncultured bacterium. RNAcentral describes it as "bacterial SSU rRNA". It matches the Rfam family "Bacterial small subunit ribosomal RNA", at positions 28 to 525 of the family's 1533-position model. The record is from RNAcentral.
GAUGAACGCUGGCGGCGUGCCUAACACAUGCAAGUCGAGCGAUUCUCUUCGGAGAAGAGCGGCGGACGGGUGAGUAACGCGUGGGUAACCUGCCUCAUACACAUGGAUAACAUACCGAAAGGUAUGCUAAUACAGGAUAAUAUAAGAGAUUCGCAUGGAUUUCUUAUCAAAGCUCCGGCGGUAUGAGAUGGACCCGCGUCUGAUUAGCUAGUUGGUAAGGUAAUGGCUUACCAAGGCGACGAUCAGUAGCCGACCUGAGAGGGUGAUCGGCCACAUUGGAACUGAGACACGGUCCAAACUCCUACGGGAGGCAGCAGUGGGGAAUAUUGCACAAUGGGCGAAAGCCUGAUGCAGCAACGCCGCGUGAGUGAUGAAGGCCUUCGGGUCGUAAAACUCUGUCCUCAAGGAAGAUAAUGACGGUACUUGAGGAGGAAGCCCCGGCUAACUACGUGCCAGCCGCCGCAGUAAAC